Molecule: ribosomal RNA, 406 nt
Filed under: uncultured bacterium
Lineage: Bacteria
Description: partial 16S ribosomal RNA
Rfam family: Bacterial small subunit ribosomal RNA
Source: RNAcentral
AUUGAACGCUGGCGGCAGGCCUAACACAUGCAAGUCGAACGAGUGGCGGACGGGUGAGUAAUGUCUGGGCAACUGCCCGAUGGAGGGGGAUAACUACUGGAAACGGUAGCUAAUACCGCAUACCAUCGGAUGUUCCCAGAUGGGAUUAGCUUGUAGGGGAGGUAACGGCUCACCUAGGCGACGCUCCCUAGCUGGUCUGAGAGGAUGACGAGCCACACGUGGACUGAGACACGGCCCAGACGCCGACGGGAGGCAGCAGUGGGGAAGAUUGCACAAUGGGCGCAAGCCUGAUGCAGCCAGGCCGCGUGUAUGAAGAAGGCCUUCGGGUUGUAAAGUACUUUCAGCGGGGAGGCGUUACCCGCAGAAGAAGCACCGGCUAACUCCGUGCCAGCAGCCGCGGUAAUUC